CAGUCGCCGCGGUAAUACGUAGGUCCCGAGCGUUGUCCGGAUUUAUUGGGCGUAAAGCGAGCGCAGGCGGUUAGAUAAGUCUGAAGUUAAAGGCUGUGGCUUAACCAUAGUACGCUUUGGAAACUGUUUAACUUGAGUGCAAGAGGGGAGAGUGGAAUUCCAUGUGUAGCGGUGAAAUGCGUAGAUAUAUGGAGGAACAUCGGUGGCGAAAGCGGCUCUCUGGCUUGUAACUGACGCUGAGGCUCGAAAGCGAGGGGAGCAAACAGGAUUAGAUACCCGUGUAGUCCCUGUCUCUUAUACA
Molecule: ribosomal RNA, 301 nt
Filed under: uncultured bacterium
Lineage: Bacteria
Description: partial 16S ribosomal RNA
Rfam family: Bacterial small subunit ribosomal RNA
Source: RNAcentral